ACAUAGCCCCGAUUGUAGUGGAAAUCCUUUUUUUUGAAAAAAUUGUUCUUCGAGAGCCUCAGAAUGACAAUUUUUUCAAAAAAAAGAUUGCAACGGAAAGCGGGUUGAACA
This 111-nucleotide small RNA is filed under the name Epilithonimonas xixisoli. Its description in RNAcentral is "Chryseobacterium xixisoli Flavo-1 RNA". It matches the Rfam family "Flavo-1 RNA". The record is from RNAcentral. Lineage: Bacteria; Pseudomonadati; Bacteroidota; Flavobacteriia; Flavobacteriales; Weeksellaceae.